This 287-nucleotide ribosomal RNA is filed under the name Staphylococcus haemolyticus. RNAcentral describes it as "partial 16S ribosomal RNA". It matches the Rfam family "Bacterial small subunit ribosomal RNA", at positions 58 to 317 of the family's 1533-position model. The record is from RNAcentral. Lineage: Bacteria; Bacillati; Bacillota; Bacilli; Caryophanales; Staphylococcaceae.
ACAGACAAAAGUCGUGUCAAGUCUGAGCGAACAGACAAGGAUCUUGCUCCUUUGACGUUAGCGGCGGACCGGUGAGUAACACGUGGGUAACCUACCUAUAAGACUGGGACAACUUCGGGAAACCGGAGCUAAUACCGGAUACCAUUUCGAACCCCAUGGUUCCAUAGUGAAACAUGGUUUUGCUAUCACUUAUAAAUGGACCCGCGCCGUAUUAGCUAGUUGGAAGGCCCUUUUUUACCAAGGCAACGAUACGAAGCCGACCUGAGAGGGUGAUCGGCCACACUGGA